This is a long non-coding RNA of Halichondria panicea, 2015 nucleotides long. RefSeq lists it as uncharacterized. The record is from RefSeq and is a predicted model, not a curated record. Lineage: Eukaryota; Metazoa; Porifera; Demospongiae; Suberitida; Halichondriidae. The transcript has 3 exons.
GAAGACUUGGUUCCUUCCUAUAUGAGGUGAGUUAGGGAAUUAUAGUUGUGUUAGGACAUGUAUAAAUUAGGACAUGUAUAAAUAAGGAAAGGGAUUAUUGGAUGUCCACCACAGACCUGUAAUGGCGGACUACAAGAACGAGGCUAUGAAGAAGGUGUGUCAGAAGGUGUGUCACCUAGAAGGUGUAAAGAUGGAGGUGCGGGACAGGUUGUCAACAAUCAACGACGACAUGAGUUGGCGAACGGUUCAGGGUGUGAUUGUGUGGAGGCUGAGGUUUGUCGACUGACUAUCAUUGUUACACUAUCAUUGUUGUAACAUAAUAACCGCGGAAACAGGCUCUGCUGCCAUAACCCUAACAGCCACCCCUGAACCCAGUAGGCACUUCACUGUAGAAGAGAGCGAAAUUAUCGCUCAUACGCUCCAACACAACGCCAGGUCUUUGGCUGUGCAAACAGUUUCUCCUGGACCACCCCAUGGAAAAAACAAAGAAAAAGAUUCAAGACAAAGUGUCUUCCUAUUAAGAACAAGAACAAUUAGAAACCCUGACCCUAUAUAAAUGUGCCGCCAUUGUAUUGUAGAAAGUGUCCCUUCUAAAGUUACCCUUAACUAUGUAUGUACCCACCCUGCAUUAAACAGUAGGAAAAGGGUCUAAAAGGGACCAAGACCCUUAUCGACCCAAUAUUACCAGAAGUCGCAUUCAAGGCUAACAUGUGAUGGUUGCUAACAUGUGAUGGUUGCUUGAUGAAACCAAUCAGUUUUUAAAGUUACCGAGGUUUCUUUGACCCAAAACAAGUAGGAACCUCACAGUCACAUCCACCCAUUUUAGAGAUUACUGAGGUGUCUACGAAAGAAAGGGUCGUUUUGAGUCUUCCAGCGUCCCUUAGCGUCCCAAAUCGAAGUGCAAACUCGCAGUACAUGUCUGAACACGUUACACAGGAGAGGUUUGAUUCCUAUACAUCCCCCACAACAUACCCAUUUCAAUCCCAGAACCAAACUUGAAAGACUACAAGUGGUAUGGUUCAAAGUAACUUUAUUGAAGCCAUACAACAUGUCAAAUGAUCAAUUUCUUAGGCAACAAGAUACUAUACGAAAGUUACACAGUAGGCGAAUUUUUUAAUUUUUUAAUUAACUCUAACUCGGAAACCAUACUAUGUACAAACCCAAAAUUUUUUCUGAGAUGUUAUUAUACCAUUCCUCAUACACACACCAAGUUUCAAAUUCUGAAGACGUCACGUUUUAAAUUUCGUUAAAUUGAUAUGGAAUGACAUCAAUUUUAAUGCUCGAUUCAAUGUACUUAUACUGUGUGUCAGGUAAGACUGACACUGACACUGACACUACUUGGCCAGGUAGUAUAAUAAUUAUAUACUUGACACACAGAGAUUGAUUGAGCAGGAUAUGUUGAAUUUUGAGUGAAUGCAGAAAGUGUAAGGUACUGGUAAACCCAUUGUCAAUGAAUAUAAUUAUUCAAUGAAUAUAAUUAUGAGGAGUCAUGUUUCAGGCAGUGAGAACUACGGGAGGAGAACUACAAAAACUGUGGCAGUAAGCACCACAGUCGUGUGUAUCUCGAAGGUACUCGUAACAAUGGGUGGGGCUACCACAGUACCAAGUGAGAAUCUUAAAAACAUACGGUGCAUUCAUGCAUUCUAAUUAUGAUACUAGGUACCCACGGAACGGAAAUGGACACAGACGUAGGUCACUAUAGAGCGUAGCGAUAAUUCUCAGGCGGAAAUUGAUCCCUUUAUCAGCAGUACUGUAUUGUUAAGCUGACAUGAGCCAUACCUGUGUACUGACAUAAUAUAUAUAAUUUUGUCUUACUUGUGCCAUAGAUAGUAGGAUACAUGGUUCAGAUACAUGGUUCACCACAAGGAGGCUAGAACUGCAGUCUUUUCCCCUAGCCCCAGGCCUAAGCUAGCUCUCAUCUCAUGAACGGUUUUUUACGAUUAAAACGUGUAUUUUAUAUGCAACGUUUAAAGCGAAAGGUUGACAUUGGAUAUUCCUGUAUUUAGUCGCUAUAG